Harpia harpyja (harpy eagle) is the source of this 2970-nucleotide long non-coding RNA. RefSeq lists it as uncharacterized. The transcript is spliced from 2 exons. The record is from RefSeq and is a predicted model, not a curated record. Lineage: Eukaryota; Metazoa; Chordata; Aves; Accipitriformes; Accipitridae.
UCUAGAGAGGAUUAUCAAGUGUUGCAUAUCCUUCGUUAGCUGGUGUAUAUAAAAGGUUAGGUGACUUCAGAAAAAUGCACAGGCUAGAACGUAGUAAGCCAGCAGAAGAAUUAAAGGGAAGGAUUCUUUUGUCCUGGCAGCAUGUCAGUCUGAACUGUCAUUCUGCUUUCUUUUGACCUUAAAAUUAAUGAAACCUUCAUGUAUCGUUGCUACUGAGGGCAGGGAUGCUUUGCACCUCUGAAACUUUGGUAAUACGCCUGUUUUGGCUCUGUGUGCCAGUGCCUAUCCGUCUGUAUUGUUGAGCUGUGUGCAAAAAAAUGGUCAUACAUGAUGCUUACUGUAUGAAACCUAAAUGCCAAAAACUCUUAAAACUUCACAAACACUGAGGCCUGGCCUUGGUCUGUGUUAAAUCAGUUAUGCAGGCUUUAAAAUCACAUCAUUAUGGAUGAAAUUCUGACCUUUUUUUUUUUCUUUAAGAAUUUAUGUCCAGGCAGAACUAAUUUUAACAAAAAGUAUUUACGUGCUCUUCAGAGUCUGUUCUUCACAGUUCCCUGAAACAACACUAGCAGUGAGGAAUUUGAGUGAUUCAUAUGUUCACAGAGAUGUUUCAUUUGAAAACUAAAUGGAAAUUGGACUCAUGUAUGCUACUAUUAGGUGAAAUUUGUGUUUGACUGUUUUGGGGCAUGGAGGAAGGAACAGGCGUUCGGAGAGCAGAGCAGCAAAGUCUACAGCAAAUUGACUACAUGAUACAGACUUUAUAAAGGCUCUCCAAGGAGUCAUGGACAGGUGCAGAGAACCAUGUAUUGUCUCCAUGUUCUGAGCUGCCUGGGCCAACCUUGGGAUUAUUUGGAGUUGACUCAUCCAUUCUGAACUCCAUGUUGACAAAAUACAAAUGGAGAGGAUAGAAAAUACAUGGUGCCUAGGAGCUAGGAACAGCUAAUAGGAAUUGGAAAUGGGCAGUCUUAAAGAAAUAAAAAUGACAGCAAAAUAGUAAAGGAGGAACAAAUGAAUUCGAAGUGAAUUUCCAAUGUUGGAGACUGCAAGGUCUGACUAUUUUAUAAAAAAUGUUUUCUUCUUUGAAUGUAGAAUGUUCAUUGAAAAAAAAAUUUUCAUAGUUGUUGAUUUUGUUGUACCAACAGCUGCCUCUGCUGGCCCAGUUCCUUAUAUGCAUUUAAUGUUUUGGUUUUUUUUUUUUCUUUUAACACAACAUGUACACAAAAUCUGAAUCGCUUCUCAGUGCAUCGAAUAUCACAUCAUGGUUCAACACUCAGCUAGUUACUGGAGACUCUUAAUAAUUGAAAGUUUGUUUGUUCUGGGCUUGAAAAACAAAGCUCCCCUGUAGUAAUUUCUCUUCAGUCAACUUUCCCUUGUUUGUAAGCCUGUUCAUCUUUUUGAAAAAAAAAAGCACAAAAGCAGGGUUAAUAAAUUUUAAGAAGGAAGAUGCUGUGAAGUCAAUGGGGUAGGUGUAAUAUAGGAAGGUGCUUUUUACUCGAACUUUUAAAAAUACCGAUUACAUUUCCUAUCUGUGGUGUCCUUUUAAAACCAUUAGAAAGAUGGUCUGCCACAGAAGGUGUUUUCUGUUUGUUUCCUGUUCUGCAUUUUUUUUCCCCGUGUGGGUUAUCCAUUCCCACUGCCUGCAGUUGGUGCUGUUUGCGAAUAUCCACGAAGAGAAGGUAAUGCCAAGGGAUCCCUGCCAUUUUCUGAUGCGUUUCCUGUGAUGCACUGUGGUAGGAAGAAAAGAAUGAGCAGAUUUCUUUUUCUCUCUGAACCGCUGGAUGUCACUGCUACCCCAGCCAAAAUGAAGGUCAGCAGUAAACCAGAGUUUUUUUCUGCGGUAAAAGAUUUGCGUAACAAAGAUGCCAGGAACAGACUACUGUAGAUUCCGAUUAGGCUAGAAGAAAGCUGUUAGAAAAGUCUCCUGCCAUCUUUUUACUUGUGUGGAUGUUUUCCUUUUUAAUGUAAGAAACAUAAAGGAAGGGUAUACCGUAUUGAAUGAUACAGUCUAUGGUAUACAGAUAUUUCUAAAUGAGUGUGGCAGGAAUAAAUUAGUAACAGGCUUACUGUAAUCCUUACUAAUGUCUUAUGUUUUAGUAAUAUUAAUUUUAGAUACUGCCAGUGUGUGAGUGGCUCCCAUUAUCCCACAGACUUCUGUCAGAGGUUGAUUUAGAGGAGCCGGAGUAGACAGGUGCGAUAGCCACUUGGUAACAGCGGAGGGAGCUGGGGAGAUGGAGAAAAUACUGUGGAGACAUGAUGAGUAAAGUUAAAUCGCUGAUUCAGUCUAAUCCACUCCAAUUUUGAUAUCUGAAUAGUUCCAGCCUAAUUUAUUCUUCUUCUAAUUGAUCUAGAAAAUGUUAUAAAGGUUUUCCUUAAAAUAUUUCUACUUUCUCUUUUAGGUCCAGCUACUGAUUUAUUUGAAGUUUAAAUUCUCUCAGUAGCUUCUGUGGGCUUUUUUCCCCACACCCCCCUUUCUCUCUCAACCUCAUAAUUAUCAAAACCACGUGAUAAUUCCAACUUUAACUAAGUGCUAGGGCAAAUUAGAAGACUUUUAAAGGGCAGUAACUUCGGCAGUAAAAGGGUGUAAUAAUACUGCAGGAAUGAAAAUGGAAAAUCUGAUUUUUUAGUGAACUUGUGCAGGCCGAUGUUCAUGUAUGGUUUGUCAAGGCUUUUUCCUCUGCCCACUACAAAACAUUUCCUGAAAUUAAUGAAUGAUCCGUUAUGAGGAGUAGUUGGUGGAAAAUGGCAUGACCAAGCUAUUCACCAAUUCCACUGUAUCUGCUCAGUGUUAUCAUUAUCAUCAAAUACAACUUUUCAGUGGAAUAAAUUUCUAUUUAUGCAGGGAGGUUUCUGGAAAUCAGAGUUAAUGUUUCUGUGAUGGAUGAGAUUUUUACCCUAGUUUUCUUGGCAACACAGUGAAGCACACAGAACUGAGAUAAUGUCAAAGGCAAAUAAAUGGGACAUAGCUUGUUUGAA